Molecule: small nuclear RNA, 107 nt
Filed under: Physeter macrocephalus (sperm whale)
Lineage: Eukaryota; Metazoa; Chordata; Mammalia; Artiodactyla; Physeteridae
Source: RNAcentral
GUGCUCGCUUCGGCAGCACAUACGCUAAGAUUCGAACGCUACAGAGAAGAUUAUCAUGGCCCCUGUGCAAGGAUGACAUGCAAAUUUGUGAAGCGUUCCAUAUUUUU